UNUGACUUGAGUGCAGAAGGGGAGAGUGGAAUUCCAUGUGUAGCGGUGAAAUGCGUAGAUAUAUGGAGGAACACCAGUGGCGAAAGCGGCUCUCUGGUCUGUCACUGACGCUGAGGCUCGANAGCGUGGGUAGCGAACAGGAUUAGAUACCCUGGUAGUNCACGCCGUAAACGAUGAGUGCUAGGUGUUAGGCCCUUUCCGGGGCUUAGUGCCGGAGCUAACGCAAUAAGCACUCCGCCUGGGGAGUACGACCGCAAGGUUGAAACUCAAGGGAAUUGACGGGGGCCCGCACAAGCGGUGGAGCAUGUGGUUUAAUUCGAAGCAACGCGAAGAACCUUACCAGGUCUUGACAUCCCGAUGCUAUUCUUAGAGAUAGGAAGUUACUUCGGUACAUCGGAGACAGGUGGUGCAUGGUUGUCGUCAGCUCGUGUCGUGAGAUGUUGGGUUAAGUCCCGCAACGAGCGCAACCCUUAUUGUUAGUUGCCAUCAUUAAGUUGGGCACUCUAGCGAGACUGCCGGUAAUAAACCGGAGGAAGGUGGGGAUGACGUCAAAUCAUCAUGCCCCUUAUGACCUGGGCUACACACGUGCUACAAUGGUCGGUACAACGAGUUGCGAGCCGGUGACGGCAAGCUAAUCUCUGAAAGCCGAUCUCAGUUCGGAUUGGAGGCUGCAACUCGCCUCCAUGAAGUCGGAAUCGCUAGUAAUCGCGGAUCAGCACGCCGCGGUGAAUACGUUCCCGGGCCUUGUACACACCGCCCGUCACACCACGAGAGUUUGUAACACCCGAAGUCGGUGAGGUANCCUUUUAGGGGC
This 814-nucleotide ribosomal RNA is filed under the name uncultured bacterium. RNAcentral describes it as "bacterial SSU rRNA". It matches the Rfam family "Bacterial small subunit ribosomal RNA", at positions 636 to 1449 of the family's 1533-position model. The record is from RNAcentral.